CGUGCUGUGUGCUAGGAUCUGGUGUUUGGGGAAAAUGAUGCUGAACAAGUAACACUUGAAAUGCAAUGAAGGGGAGGAGAUCUAAGAGUAUGCAUGGACCCCGAAUGAGGAGUGAGCGAACCAUUGCACGCUGGUCAACCCAACCUGACAAAGCUGUCCCAGGUGCUUCAAUUAGUAAGGAGAUGAGGACAGAGGGUGAUAAGGGCUUGCUCAAGGUCAUACAGCAAGGUGGUGCAAGAGUCAGAACCAACACACAGAUCUUCAGACUCCCAGUUCAAGGUCCCAUUCCUGAGAAGGGUCUGACAGAUUCUGAGCACGGCACUCAAGCCAAAAGGAAUCCCUCUCGAUUUAGAAAUCUUCAGCCACUCCCUGGAAAAUGAGGAAUAGAGCCUAGGUGUCAAUAAAUCAUCCAGGAGCACCAGUGAGAAGCAUUCUCUGAGAACUUCUGCGAAUUUCAUUAGCUGCAGUUUAUUUGGUUUUGGUGAGCUAUGAUGUUUUUUAAAUCUCAAAUGUCUAGGAAGUGAGGAGCAUCUCUGCCCGGCUGCCCAUCGUCUGAGAUGUGGGGAGCGCCUUUGCCCCGCCGCCCCGUCUGGGAUGUGAGGAGCGUCUCUGCCCGGCCGCGACCCCGUCCGGGAGGGAAUGCGGCAGAGAAAAAGAGGAGAAACUGAAGAAGGGACUAAAUAAGGCAAGGCUGGAUCAGAAAAGAUUGACUCUGAGGACUAAGAGAAACUGAAGCUGGGACCCAGCAGGGUGCUAUUGACCUCCAAGUCCUUUCUCCACAUUCCCCCAUCUGCCCAACUUCCACAGCUCAGGGGUCUUUUCUCCUAGGGUUGAAAUAUGAAUGGCUCUAAAAUUUCCCAGUGAAAACCAUCCAUGAAGUUGUGUGUGGGAAAUGAAAUGCCAGCCCGUGGGUGUCAGCAACUGUGAAGAAAGCGUGGCAUCCACGCUCACCUGGGCUUCCUUUGGUUUGCCUCAUUAAUCAGCUCCCCAGGUCAUCGGCACGUCUCGCCUCAGGCUCACAGGUCUGGUUUUUGUAUAAUACACAUUUCCCCCAGUUUUUAUUUCAUCUGUUUUUUUCAAGCAGCCUUUCCAUUAUUUCUGAACAUUUGAGUUAAAAAAAUGUAAAUUACAGACGCCUGCGGAUUGACGUAAUGUGAAAAGAAGGCGGCUGUUUCCCCUUCCUCCAAACAGGGGACAUGGCUUUUCAAACUAAU
RNAcentral lists this long non-coding RNA (1214 nucleotides) under Homo sapiens (human). RNAcentral describes it as "HSALNT0030667". The record is from RNAcentral. Lineage: Eukaryota; Metazoa; Chordata; Mammalia; Primates; Hominidae.